Molecule: long non-coding RNA, 286 nt
Filed under: Linum usitatissimum (flax)
Lineage: Eukaryota; Viridiplantae; Streptophyta; Magnoliopsida; Malpighiales; Linaceae
Description: long non-coding RNA (LUSI_LNC002937)
Source: RNAcentral
UUACGUCCUUCUCUCGGGAAGGAGGGAGUGAUUCCGGGAAUUUCAUAACUUGUGUUGAUGCAAGCUGUUAAUUCCGCAACAGUCUGGGCCCCCCCUUCUUUAGUCUUUACCUUGGAUUCAUGAUACGUCACCUCCACACUUUCUUUCGUAAUUACCCUUCCUUUUACACUCUGCCACUUUCCCCACUCUCUCUUUCCAUGCUUAAUUAGUCACUGAAGUUGAGGAUUGUCAACAAACCGUCGUCAGUAUGCUGCGGACUUAACAUGCAAGUGAUAAAAAAUUGAAC